RNAcentral lists this transfer RNA (68 nucleotides) under Marmota monax (woodchuck). It matches the Rfam family "tRNA". Rfam says of the family: Transfer RNA (tRNA) molecules are approximately 80 nucleotides in length. The record is from Rfam by way of RNAcentral. Lineage: Eukaryota; Metazoa; Chordata; Mammalia; Rodentia; Sciuridae.
GUUAUAGCUCAGCGGUAGAGCGCUCACCUCGCAUGUGCAAGGCCCUGGGUUCGAUCCUCAGCAUAACA